This 497-nucleotide ribosomal RNA is filed under the name uncultured bacterium. RNAcentral's name for it is "partial 16S ribosomal RNA". It matches the Rfam family "Bacterial small subunit ribosomal RNA", at positions 28 to 507 of the family's 1533-position model. The record is from RNAcentral.
GAUGAACGCUGGCGGCGUGCCUAAUACAUGCGAGUCGAGCGAACAGAUAAGGAGCUUGCUCCUUUGACGUUAGCGGCGGACGGGUGAGUAACACGUGGGUAACCUACCUAUAAGACUGGGAUAACUUCGGGAAACCGGAGCUAAUACCGGAUAACAUUUGGAACCGCAUGGUUCUAAAGUGAAAGAUGGUUUUGCUAUCACUUAUAGAUGGACCCGCGCCGUAUUAGCUAGUUGGUAAGGUAACGGCUUACCAAGGCGACGAUACGUAGCCGACCUGAGAGGGUGAUCGGCCACACUGGAACUGAGGCACGGUCCAGACUCCUACGGGAGGCAGCAGUAGGGAAUCUUCCGCAAUGGGCGAAAGCCUGACGGAGCAACGCCGCGUGAGUGAUGAAGGGUUUCGGCUCGUAAAACUCUGUUAUUAGGGAAGAACAAAUGUGUAAGUAACUGUGCACGUCUUGACGGUACCUAAUCAGAAAGCCACGGCUAACUACGUG